RNAcentral lists this ribosomal RNA (555 nucleotides) under Candida tropicalis. Its description in RNAcentral is "eukaryotic LSU rRNA". The stretch from base 196 to 349 matches the Rfam family "5.8S ribosomal RNA". The record is from RNAcentral. Lineage: Eukaryota; Fungi; Ascomycota; Pichiomycetes; Serinales; Debaryomycetaceae.
UUGGAAGUAAAAAGCGUAACAAGGUUUCCGUAGGUGAACCUGCGGAAGGAUCAUUACUGAUUUGCUUAAUUGCACCACAUGUGUUUUUUAUUGAACAAAUUUCUUUGGUGGCGGGAGCAAUCCUACCGCCAGAGGUUAUAACUAAACCAAACUUUUUAUUUACAGUCAAACUUGAUUUAUUAUUACAAUAGUCAAAACUUUCAACAACGGAUCUCUUGGUUCUCGCAUCGAUGAAGAACGCAGCGAAAUGCGAUACGUAAUAUGAAUUGCAGAUAUUCGUGAAUCAUCGAAUCUUUGAACGCACAUUGCGCCCUUUGGUAUUCCAAAGGGCAUGCCUGUUUGAGCGUCAUUUCUCCCUCAAACCCCCGGGUUUGGUGUUGAGCAAUACGCUAGGUUUGUUUGAAAGAAUUUAACGUGGAAACUUAUUUUAAGCGACUUAGGUUUAUCCAAAAACGCUUAUUUUGCUAGUGGCCACCACAAUUUAUUUCAUAACUUUGACCUCAAAUCAGGUAGGACUACCCGCUGAACUUAAGCAUAUCAAAAGGGGGGAAGAAA